UCCGUAGGCGGUGCGGCAAGUCGGAAGUGAAAUCUCUGGGCUUAACCCAGAGGCUGCUUCCGAAACUGCCGUGCUAGAGUGCGAGAGAGGCGAGUGGAAUUGCGGGUGUAGCGGUGAAAUGCGUAGAUAUCCGCAGGAACAUCCGAGGCGAAAGCGGCUCGCUGGAUCGCAACUGACGCUGAGGGACGAAAGCUAGGGGAGCAAACAGGAUUAGAUACCCUGGUAGUCCUAGCCCUAAACCAUCAGGACUUGGGGUUUGCCCUGUACGAGGCAAGUCCCGUAGCUAACGCGUUAAGUCCUGCGCCUGGGGAGUACGGUCGCAAGGCUGAA
RNAcentral lists this ribosomal RNA (330 nucleotides) under uncultured bacterium. RNAcentral's name for it is "bacterial SSU rRNA". It matches the Rfam family "Bacterial small subunit ribosomal RNA", at positions 568 to 898 of the family's 1533-position model. The record is from RNAcentral.